GUGGGGAAUUUUGGACAAUGGGCGAAAGCCUGAUCCAGCCAUGCCGCGUGCCGGAAGAAGGCCCUCAGGGUUGUAAACGGCUUUUGACGGUGAAGAAUCGACAGGAUGCGUCCUGUUUUGACGGUAGCCGUUGAAUAAGCACCGGCUAACUCCGUGCCAGCAGCCGCGGUAAUACGGAGGGUGCGAGCGUUGUCCGGAUUUAUUGGGUUUAAAGGGUGCGUAGGCUGGAAGGUCAGUCAGCGGUGAAAAACUGUCGCUUAACGAUAGUCUUGCCGCAGAUACUUCCUUUCUUGGAUGAGGAGGAGGCCACUGGAACGGAUGGUGUAGCGGUGAAAUGCAUAGAUAUCAUCCAGAACACCGAUUGCGAAGGCAGGUGGCUGUACCUUAAUCGACGCUGAUGCACGAAAGCAUGGGGAGCAAACAGGAUUAGAAACCCGGGUAGUCC
This 445-nucleotide ribosomal RNA is filed under the name uncultured bacterium. RNAcentral's name for it is "partial 16S ribosomal RNA". It matches the Rfam family "Bacterial small subunit ribosomal RNA", at positions 354 to 796 of the family's 1533-position model. The record is from RNAcentral.